This 444-nucleotide ribosomal RNA is filed under the name uncultured bacterium. RNAcentral's name for it is "bacterial SSU rRNA". It matches the Rfam family "Bacterial small subunit ribosomal RNA", at positions 29 to 507 of the family's 1533-position model. The record is from RNAcentral.
AACGAACGCUGGCGGCAGGCCUAACACAUGCAAGUCGAACGUGAAGCUGGAGCUUGCUCCAGUGGAAAGUGGCAGACGGGUGAGUAACGCGUGGGAAUUUACCCAGUGGUACGGAAUAACUCAGGGAAACUUGUGCUAAUACCGUAUAAGCCCUUCGGGGGAAAGAUUUAUCGCCAUUGGAUGAGCCCGCGUUAGAUUAGUUUGUUGGUGGGUAAUGGCCUACCAAGACUACGAUCUAUAGCUGGUCUGAGAGGAUGAUCAGCCACACUGGGACUGAGACACGGCCCAGACUCCUACGGGAGGCAGCAGUGGGGAAUAUUGCACAAUGGGCGCAAGCCUGAUGCAGCCAUACCGCGUGAGUGAAGAAGGCCUUAGGGUUGUAAAACUCUUUCACCGGUGAAGAUAAUGACGGUAGCCGGUAAAGAAGCCCCGGCUAACUCCGUG